This 1649-nucleotide long non-coding RNA is filed under the name Pogonomyrmex barbatus (red harvester ant). RNAcentral describes it as "uncharacterized LOC112552670, transcript variant X1". The record is from RNAcentral. Lineage: Eukaryota; Metazoa; Arthropoda; Insecta; Hymenoptera; Formicidae.
UCUUCCUCGUUCGUCAUUUUCCAUCUGUUUCUUCUUUCUUUCUCUUCCUUCGCGUGCGCAUUUCUUCUCCGCCGUGUCGUUUGUGCCGUGUCGGAUGUUGGUGCGCGAGCUGUAUCCCAUUUAGAACGAAGAAACGCGAUCGAUCGCGUCAAGAUUCUCGCGGCCGCUGAAAAUCGUACCUUACUUCGCGCCAACUACGAGGGUUGUGAGCGAUUUCGGUCCCAGGCUACAGUGAGAUUUUGACGAACCGCUCGUAGCAGCGCGUAUUUGGGAGGAGAAAGAAGACGCAUGACCGGUCUGAAGAGGAUCGUAAGGAAGAGGUUGUUACCGAUACUGAUCAGUAUGAGGUUUCCAGCCAGAGAAAUGAAUAUUUUCGAUCCUCGCUGUCGAUAAAACACCUCGUAGUUCGAUCGUGCUCACGUCCUCCCUGGAAUCUCUCUCGAUCUCAUUGUUCGUGGGCAGCAGGGCAGAAAGCGGCGCUUCCGGUUUCAGGUUGAGUUGCACGACGGUCAGACGAACGAACGGACAGGCCUGGCUGCAUCCUGACUCCCCAGUGCCUCUUCUGCGUGGUACCCGCGGAAAAUUGUCGUAGCAACGGGAAGUGGAUAAGUCAGCGCGGAACCGGAAGUCGCCGUGGGAUCGCGCCUGCGGAGGCCGCUGAAAACACCGAGCGAAGCCUUCGUGCUCCCUGGGAACCGUCGAUUAGCUACACGCGCGUGUACACUUUUCGCCUGUGUCGUGUAUGCAGGCAGUCAUCACGGCACACCCACACACACACACACACACACACACACACACACACACACACACACACACACACACACACACACACAUACACACAUACGCGGAAAUGCGACGAACGUCGGAGAUACAGUACGCAGAGGGGAAGAGGACAGGGCGGGGGCACGAAACGUUAGGCGAAUAUACAGCGUAGAUAAAUCCUGUGGCUGCUACAACUAACGCGGAAAUUUCUUUAAUCGUGAGAAAAUAAAGAUUAUCGCUAUUCAGCAGAUCCAUUGAAAGCCGUCUUGUCCUGGGUAAAAAAACUUAGAGGCGAGUGAUUAGGGGGAGGUCGAAUCAUUACGUUAUUGCUAUGUUCCACGUUACACAGACACAACCAAAGACGGUUAAUAAUGGACGGUUAAUAAUGGACUUGCCGGUAGAGUAUACCACUACAAGGUAGGUCGAUGACUCAUGCUAAUCAUUGUUACGUUAUGAAAAAUGUCGGGCUUCGUAAUUAUCGAGAGACGCAUGAUGCAUACUUGGUCUCUGGUUUUAACUACAUCUACAGUAUACGCGCAAAGAAUGAAAUGGUCAAAGGCGCCAAAUCUAACGAAGCACAUUAAUCAGUGGACGUACGCAACAUCAAUUUGGACACUAGUUGGACGAGUGUUUGGCAAAUAUAAUUGGGGGAUUAACAAUGGUACGGUAACGAGGCGAUUUCACGGUAACAUAUUAGAGCGACGUGUCUAUUCGUCUCUUUUGCUUUCCAGGUACCGAUUUUGAUCCACAUCCAGAAACCGUGGGCGACGCUGAUAUUACGCUGAUUAAUGGUUUCCUUUGGCCCGGUAUCCUUGAAAAAUAGAUAUGGCCACUUCUGCGGUGGUAGUUCGACAUUGGCGAUUUAUCUGUUUUAAGCAACUUGAUUU